GAGUAAAGAUUUCGGUCGCUUUGGGAGGAGCUCGCUUACUAUCAGCUUGUUGGUAGGGUAAUGGCCUACCAAGGCUAUGACGGUUAGGGGGUGUGAGAGCAUGACCCCCAGCAUUGGCACUGAAACACUGGCCAAACACCUACGGGUGGCUGCAGUCGAGAAUCUUCCACAAUGGGGGAAACCCUGAUGGAGCGAUGCUGCGUGCGGGAUGAAGGCCUUCGGGUUGUAAACCGCUUUUGUAGGGGACGAAAUUUUUGACGGUACCCUUUCGAAUAAGAGGUUGCUAACUCUGUGCCAGCUGCAGCGGUAAUACAGAGACCUCAAGCGUUAUCCGGAUUUACUGGGCGUAAAGCGUCUGUAGGGGGUUUAUUAAGUUCCAAGUAAAAUUUCAAGGCUCAACUUUGAAUUCGCUUGGAAAACUAAUAAACUGGAGUCUAGCAGAGGUGCAUGGAACUUGUGGUGUAGGAGUGAAAUCCGUUGAUAUCACAAGGAACACCAAAGGCGAAGGCAUUGCACUGGGCUAGCACUGACCCUGAGAGACGAAAGCGUGGGGAGCAAAACGGAUUAGAUACCCGUGUAGUCCACGCCCUAAACGAUGAAUGCUAAAUGUUCGGGGAUUCGACCCCCUGGGUGUUACAGCUAACGCGUUAAGCAUUCCGCCUGGGAAGUACGGCCGCAAGGCUAAAACUCAAAGGAAUAGACGGGGAUCCGCACAAGCGGUGGAGCGUCUGGUUUAAUUCGACAGUAAGCGUAGUACCUCACCAGGGUUUGACAUCCCUUGACAGCCUUGGAAACAAGGUUUCCUUCGGGCAAGGUGACAGGUGCUGCAUGGUCGUCGUCAGUUCGUGCCGUGAGGUGUUCCGUUAAGUCGGGAAACGAACGAAACUCCUAUUGCAUGUUACAAUUUCUCAUGCAAGACUGCCCGGAUAUACUGGGAGGAAGGUGGGGAUGACGUCAGAUCUGCAUGGUCCUUAUACCCUGGGCGACACAGGCGCUACAAUGGCAGAGACAAAGGGUUGCAAAACCGCAAGGUGAAGCUAAUCCCAAAAACUUUGUCUAAGUUCGGAUUGAAGGCUGCAAUUCGCCUUCAUGAAGCUGGAAUCGCUAGUAAUCGUGAAUCAGCCACGUCACGGUGAAUAUGUUCCCGGAUCUUGUACUCACCGCCCGUCACACCAAGAGAGUUGGUAGCUCCCGAAG
RNAcentral lists this ribosomal RNA (1197 nucleotides) under uncultured organism. Its description in RNAcentral is "bacterial SSU rRNA". It matches the Rfam family "Bacterial small subunit ribosomal RNA", at positions 199 to 1426 of the family's 1533-position model. The record is from RNAcentral.